GAGCCAAGUAGAAGACAAGGAAAUUUGCAUCUUUUUUCUACUUCAAUUAUGUCCACUCUAUGAUUGCGUAUAUGUUAAAUCAAACAUCACUAGUACGAGAGAAAAAUAUAUCCUUUCCAAUGCUUCAACGAAGUGUUUAGAGUUUAACAGCACUGAUAACUAGUUCAAGGAUUUGACAGUUAAUGACAAUUAGUUUUGGAGAAUUUGAGUGAUUAUAGAAUGUUUUAUGCAGUCUUUUAUGAUAGUGCAAUAUUAUCUAUUGUUGUCAUA
Molecule: long non-coding RNA, 270 nt
Filed under: Physcomitrium patens
Lineage: Eukaryota; Viridiplantae; Streptophyta; Bryopsida; Funariales; Funariaceae
Description: long non-coding RNA (PPAT_LNC012370)
Source: RNAcentral